AAAUAAUGCUGGGGUACGAUGCGGAGCGAAAUUUAGUAGCGAAGUAGCUGAUUUCACACUGUCGAGAAAAGUCUCUAUCGAGGUUAAAGGUGCCUGUACCGCAAACCGACACAGGUGGGUGAGGAGAGUAUCCUAAGGCCAGCGAGAGAACUGUUGUUAAGGAACUCGGCAAAAUGACCCCGUAACUUCGGGAGAAGGGGUGCCUUCGAAAGAAGGCCGCAGAGAAUAGGCCCAAGCGACUGUUUACCAAAAACAUAGGUUUCUGCUAAGUCGCAAGACGAUGUAUAGGAGCUGACGCCUGCCCGGUGCUGGAAGGUUAAGGGGAUCUGUUAGAGCAAUCGAAGCAGUGAACUUAAGCCCCAGUAAACGGCGGCCGUAACAAUAACGGUCCUAAGGUAGCGAAAUUCCUUGUCGGGUAAGUUCCGACCCGCACGAAAGGCGUAACGAUUUGGGCACUGUCUCAACAACAGACUCGGUGAAAUUGUAAUACCGGUGAAGAUGCCGGUUACCUGCGACAGGACGGAAAGACCCCAUGGAGCUUUACUGUAGCUUGACAUUGAGUCUCGGUGCUACAUGUACAGGAUAGGUGGGAGACUAUGAAGCAUGGACGUCAGUCUGUGUGGAGUCAUCCUUGGGAUACCACCCUUGUAGUACUGGGAUUCUAACCAGAGGCCAUGAAUCUGGUCUUGGGACACUGUCAGGUGGACAGUUUGACUGGGGCGGUCGCCUCCCAAAAAGUAACGGAGGCGCUCAAAGGUUCUCUCAGUACGGUCGGAAAUCGUACGAAGAGUGUAAAGGCAAAAGAGAGCUUGAUUGCAAGACAUACAGGUCGAGCAAGGACGAAAGUCGGACUUAGUGAUCCGGUGGUUCCGCAUGGAAGGGCCAUCGCUCAACGGAUAAAAGCUACCCUGGGGAUAACAGGCUGAUCUCCCCCAAGAGUCCACAUCGACGGGGAGGUUUGGCACCUCGAUGUCGGCUCAUCACAUCCUGGGGCUGUAGUAGGUCCCAAGGGUUGGGCUGUUCGCCCAUUAAAGUGGUACCCGAGCUGGGUUCAGAACGUCGUGAGACAGUUCGGUCCCUAUCCGUCGCAGGCGUAGGAAAUUUGAGGAGACCUGUCCUUAGUACGAGAGGACCGGGAUGGACGUACCGCUGGUGUACCAGUUGUUCUGCCAAGGGCAUGGCUGGGUAGCUAAGUACGGAAAGGAUAAGCGCUGAAAGCAUCUAAGCGCGAAGCCCACUUCAAGAUAAGAUUUCCCACCGCAAGGUUAAGAUCCCAGGAAGACUACCUGGUUGAUAGGUCAGAGGUGUAAGUGCAGUAAUGUAUUUAGCUUACUGAUACUAAUAGAUCGAGGACUUGACC
Molecule: ribosomal RNA, 1360 nt
Filed under: metagenome
Description: bacterial LSU rRNA
Rfam family: Bacterial large subunit ribosomal RNA
Source: RNAcentral